RNAcentral lists this ribosomal RNA (172 nucleotides) under uncultured bacterium. Its description in RNAcentral is "partial 16S ribosomal RNA". It matches the Rfam family "Bacterial small subunit ribosomal RNA", at positions 1328 to 1500 of the family's 1533-position model. The record is from RNAcentral.
GGAAUUGCUAGUAAUGGCAGGUCAGCAUACUGCCGUGAAUACGUUCCCGGGCCUUGUACACACCGCCCGUCACACCAUGAGAGUUGGAAAUACCCGAAGCCUGUGAGCUAACUUUUAGAGGCAGCAGUCGAAGGUAGAAUCAAUGAUUGGGGUGAAGUCGUAACAAGGUAAC